GCUGGGCGCGGUGGCUCACGCCUGUAAUCCCAGCACUCUGGGAGGCCGAGGUGGGUGGAUCACCUGAGGUCAGGAGUUCGAGACCAGCCUGGCCAACAUGGUGAAACCCCAUCUUUA
Unclassified non-coding RNA from Pongo abelii (Sumatran orangutan), 117 nucleotides. It matches the Rfam family "Metazoan signal recognition particle RNA". From Rfam's summary of the family: The signal recognition particle (SRP) is a universally conserved ribonucleoprotein. NCBI's taxonomy places the organism in Eukaryota, Metazoa, Chordata, Mammalia, Primates, Hominidae. The record is from Ensembl.